This 72-nucleotide transfer RNA is filed under the name Cordylochernes scorpioides. RNAcentral's name for it is "tRNA-Thr". The record is from RNAcentral. Lineage: Eukaryota; Metazoa; Arthropoda; Arachnida; Pseudoscorpiones; Chernetidae.
AGGCUCAGCAGGGGUUUGAACCCUGGAUCUUUGGUUUACAAGACCAACACCUUACCACUUGGCCACUAGGCU